Molecule: ribosomal RNA, 484 nt
Filed under: uncultured bacterium
Lineage: Bacteria
Description: partial 16S ribosomal RNA
Rfam family: Bacterial small subunit ribosomal RNA
Source: RNAcentral
AUUGAACGCUGGCGGCAGGCCUAACACAUGCAAGUCGAGCAGAUGAAGGGAGCUUGCUCCUGGAUUCAGCGGCGGACGGGUGAGUAAUGCCUAGGAAUCUGCCUGGUAGUGGGGGAUAACGUCCGGAAACGGGCGCUAAUACCGCAUACGUCCUGAGGGAGAAAGUGGGGGAUCUUCGGACCUCACGCUAUCAGAUGAGCCUAGGUCGGAUUAGCUAGUUGGUGGGGUAAAGGCCUACCAAGGCGACGAUCCGUAACUGGUCUGAGAGGAUGAUCAGUCACACUGGAACUGAGACACGGUCCAGACUCCUACGGGAGGCAGCAGUGGGGAAUAUUGGACAAUGGGCGAAAGCCUGAUCCAGCCAUGCCGCGUGUGUGAAGAAGGUCUUCGGAUUGUAAAGCACUUUAAGUUGGGAGGAAGGGCAGUAAGUUAAUACCUUGCUGUUCUGACGUUACCAACAGAAUAAGCACCGGCUAACUUCGUG